UUACUUCUUACUGAUGCUUUUUCUGUCAUUCAUUUAUUGCCCUCCCUGAAAGUUGCCACAUGUGCGAGUUUUGUAACUCAGUGACGGUUUUGAAUAGAGAGCCCCCCAACUUAUCAAUUGUCAGGCACAUCAAUAUCAAUUUUUCAGUCUGCAUGCAAGUGUAAAAUACUAUUAGUAAAAUCCUAAAUUAAUUUGCCAUGCAUUUCGUUUGGCUUUCUUCCUGCAACACAGCAUGAAACCAUAAGUAAAAGAAACAGUAGACAAAUUGCAUUUGCAGCAAAAAGCAUCUAAGGUGAAUAUGGGUAUUCCUCAACGCAUCCAAUAAUAUCCAGGAUCUGAUUAGCUAAGGCCUGUAGUCAAAGAUUGUGUGCCUUAACCCAUCAGAUGCAAAUUAAAAGAAACAUGACAAUGCAAAUUCACAUAAUAGCAAUCUGAAUAUAUAUAUCACUUGAUAACAUGGACACUAUCACUGACUCAAAUUAGCAAAUCUAAUAACCAAAGAAAGACGGUGUCGGACUCGUAAACCACAAAGAAUCAUUGGAUUCCAUCAAUUUACAGAAGGACGGUGUCGUAAAAAAAGCCGUCUCCAUAUACCAUAGUUAAGAUCCUUCAUCAUUCUAUACAAGAGAUAAGUCCUUCUAAAGGUAAAUACUUUUCUAAUCUUUUCAUCCUAUUUAUAAAUACCAACAUAGUAAUGAAAGAUAACUAUGGCCACCGGAACACAAGAAUCGGCCCUUUUCCUGCAUUAAGAAUGAAGCCUCCCACACCACAGCGACAAGAUCCCUAAUUUCCUCGUAACUCUUAACUGAGGUUUAAAACUAUAGGCUGGGAUCAUAUGUACGUAAAAGAAAGACGAAAAUUUAGUUACUCCUAAGGUAAAAAACUUAGAAUAUGUACUCCUUAAGUAUGUCAACAAAGCACUGUCAAAUUCCGUUUGCUCCAAAAGCACCUAAGAAUUCUCAAAGAAAAACAUUACCUGAAUAGUUUUAUCUCUCAUCCAUGACAAAAGAACAAGAGCGCAAAUUAGUAAUCGACCGACUACCUCGUCAUUGCUACAGGAAGAAGUACAAACAGAUAUGAUGGAUUGGAAUCUCUAGAAAUCUGAUCUUGGUUGUAAGAUACAAAAAGUACACGCUUCAAACUCGUAGCAACCGCUAAAAUUACUAUGCUCAGAUUAUGAAGUUGAUUCAGAACCUGAAGGAUAUUAUUAUACGUUAAAUUUACAUGCAAUGUCAUGGGUUUCUAAUGCUAUUCUUUCCAUAAAAUUUGAUUUUCACCUGAGUAACCCAAAUAAUAAGGAUAUAGAAUCAACUCGAUACAAAUUAUCAAACUGAAACCAUAAUUUUUUUUUAUUGUUUCUUCAGUAUAAACCAAAUCGAAUUAGAUGGAAUGAAUAUUACUUAGACUAAACCCAGCUUAUUGUCACUUGAACCGUGAAAUGACUGGAGAACAACAAAAUUGACGAAAUUUGACAGGUUUUCAGUGAAGUCUUCCUUUUCAAUACAUUUUUUUUUUUUUCAUUCAAAAAAUUCGAAGCCAAUAUGUUGUUUAAAAAAUCUAAAUUCAGUAUAACUUGCACCAAUGAAAUGUUAGUGCUUCCGAAGGUGCGUGAUUUAACGAACAAAGCAAAAAGAAAAUCAUAAAGAAAAAUGUUUUCAAGUAGAACAUGUGCCUAAAGUCAUGAACAUAUGGAUGUUAUGCCCAACCAAAAACCACGGAACAGAAACAGAACAAAUCUCAAGAAAUUAAAUCCUUCAGCUUCAACUUACGAUUCAGUGCAGUGUGAGAAUGCAUCAGAACACGAACAACCGAAAUCCUCGUAACCAUCAUCAAAGUCCACGACAUUUGACUACAAUCGAAACGACAGGUUCAAGCGAAAAACAGAACAACCGACAGGCUAUGAAGAGGAUUUGAAUGUACCUGAAGAAAUUGAGCAGUUUGAAGAGAUCUGUGUCCUCGGAAAUCGUCUCGAAACGACGUCAAUCCGAUGCUCCAUACGUUCGUUUCGUUCGGACUUCGAAGACCCUUUGCUGAAGCGAUUCAGGUUGUAUGAUGGAUUAUGUCGAGCCAAAAACGGUGCCGUUCUGCGCAACGUGUUGUGAGGUUGAAGAUGAGAAAGCGAAAUGCCGAAACAGCGCGCAUUCGCGUAGGCCCCACACACAGUUACCAUUCGCGACGCUAUUUGGAAUGCGGGACCUAUUAUUAAG
Molecule: long non-coding RNA, 2207 nt
Filed under: Phaseolus vulgaris (common bean)
Lineage: Eukaryota; Viridiplantae; Streptophyta; Magnoliopsida; Fabales; Fabaceae
Description: long non-coding RNA (PVUL_LNC002433)
Source: RNAcentral